GGCCAGACUCCUACGGGAGGCAGCAGUGGGGAAUAUUGGACAAUGGGGGGAACCCUGAUCCAGCGACGCCGCGUGAGUGAAGAAGUAUUUCGGUAUGUAAAGCUCUCUCAGCAGGGAAGAAAGAAAUGACGGUACCUGACUAAGAAGCCCCGGCUAACUACGUGCCAGCAGCCGCGGUAAUACGUAGGGGGCAAGCGUUAUCCGGAUUUACUGGGUGUAAAGGGAGCGUAGACGGCGAUGCAAGUCUGAAGUGAAGGGCCGUGGCUCAACCGCGGAACUGCUUUGGAAACUGUAUAGCUUGAGUACUGGAGAGGCAGGCGGAAUUCCUAGUGUAGCGGUGAAAUGCGUAGAUAUUAGGAGGAACACCAGUGGCGAAGGCGGCCUGCUGGACAGAAACUGACGUUGAGGCUCGAAAGCGUGGGGAGCAAACAGGAUUAGAUACCCUGGUAUG
RNAcentral lists this ribosomal RNA (451 nucleotides) under uncultured bacterium. Its description in RNAcentral is "bacterial SSU rRNA". It matches the Rfam family "Bacterial small subunit ribosomal RNA", at positions 329 to 793 of the family's 1533-position model. The record is from RNAcentral.